UACGAAGGGGGCUAGCGUUGCUCGGAAUCACUGGGCGUAAAGCGCACGUAGGCGGAUUGCUAAGUCAGGUGUGAAAUCUCGGGGCUCAACCCCGAAACUGCACUUGAUACUGCCUUGCUUGAGUACUGGAGAGGAGAUUGGAAUUUACGGUGUAGCAGUGAAAUGCGUAGAUAUCGUAAGGAAGACCAGUGGCGAAGGCGAAUCUCUGGACAGUUACUGACACUGAGGCACGAAGGCCAGGGGAGCAAACGGG
This 253-nucleotide ribosomal RNA is filed under the name uncultured bacterium. RNAcentral's name for it is "partial 16S ribosomal RNA". It matches the Rfam family "Bacterial small subunit ribosomal RNA", at positions 524 to 776 of the family's 1533-position model. The record is from RNAcentral.